Molecule: ribosomal RNA, 941 nt
Filed under: uncultured Campylobacterota bacterium
Lineage: Bacteria; Pseudomonadati; Campylobacterota
Description: bacterial SSU rRNA
Rfam family: Bacterial small subunit ribosomal RNA
Source: RNAcentral
ACUCCUACGGGAGGCAGCAGUGGGGAAUAUUGCACAAUGGAGGAAACUCUGAUGCAGCAACGCCGCGUGGAGGAUGACGCAUUUCGGUGUGUAAACUCCUUUUAUAUGGGAAGAUAAUGACGGUACCAUAUGAAUAAGCACCGGCUAACUCCGUGCCAGCAGCCGCGGUAAUACGGAGGGUGCAAGCGUUACUCGGAAUCACUGGGCGUAAAGCGCGCGCAGGCGGCCUUUUAAGUUGGAAGUGAAAUCCUAUGGCUUAACCAUAGAACUGCUUCCAAAACUGAAAGGCUAGAGUCUGGGAGGGGAAGAUGGAAUUAGUUGUGUAGGGGUAAAAUCCGUAGAGAUAACUAGGAAUACCAAAAGCGAAGGCGAUCUUCUGGAACAGUACUGACGCUGAGGCGCGAAAGCGUGGGGAGCAAACAGGAUUAGAUACCCUGGUAGUCCACGCCCUAAACGAUGAAUGUUAGUCGUCGGGAUGCAAGUCAUUUCGGUGAUGCAGUUAACACAUUAAACAUUCCGCCUGGGGAGUACGGUCGCAAGAUUAAAACUCAAAGGAAUAGACGGGGACCCGCACAAGUGGUGGAGCAUGUGGUUUAAUUCGAAGAUACGCGAAGAACCUUACCUGGCCUUGACAUUGAUAGAAUCCCGCAGAGAUGCAGGAGUGCCCUUCGGGGAACUUGAAAACAGGUGCUGCACGGCUGUCGUCAGCUCGUGUCGUGAGAUGUUGGGUUAAGUCCCGCAACGAGCGCAACCCUCGUCACUAGUUACUAACGGUUCGGCCGAGGACUCUAGUGAGACUGCCUUCGUAAGGAGGAGGAAGGUGAGGACGACGUCAAGUCAUCAUGGCCCUUACGGCCAGGGCGACACACGUGCUACAAUGGGGGAGGACAAUGAGACGCAAUACCGCGAGGGUGGAGCAAAUCUAUAAACCUUCUCUCAGU